Molecule: ribosomal RNA, 169 nt
Filed under: uncultured bacterium
Lineage: Bacteria
Description: partial 16S rRNA
Rfam family: Bacterial small subunit ribosomal RNA
Source: RNAcentral
UAGGGAAUCUUCGGCAAUGGGGGGCGAACCCUGACCGAGCAACGCCGCGUGAGUGAAGAAGGUUUCGGAUUGUAAAGCUCUGUUGUAAGAGAAGAACGUGUGUGAGAGUGGAAAGUUCACACAGUGACGGUAACUUACCAGAAAGGGACGGCUAACUACGUGCCACCAG